RNAcentral lists this transfer RNA (76 nucleotides) under subsurface metagenome. RNAcentral describes it as "tRNA-Arg". It matches the Rfam family "tRNA". From Rfam's summary of the family: Transfer RNA (tRNA) molecules are approximately 80 nucleotides in length. Their secondary structure includes four short double-helical elements and three loops (D, anti-codon, and T loops). The record is from RNAcentral.
GCGCCCGUAGUUCAGUGGAUAGAACACGUGGUUGCGGACCACGAGGUCAGAGGUUCAAAUCCUCUCGGGCGCACCA